RNAcentral lists this small RNA (439 nucleotides) under Pan troglodytes (chimpanzee). RNAcentral describes it as "retained intron". The record is from RNAcentral. Lineage: Eukaryota; Metazoa; Chordata; Mammalia; Primates; Hominidae.
CGGGAGUCAGGGCGGAAAGCCAGCAGCACAGCCAAGGUGCCUGCCAGCCCCCUGCCCGGUCUGGAGAGGAAGAAGACCACCCCAACCCCCUCCACGAACAGCGUCCUCUCCACCAGCACAAAUCGAAGCAGGAAUUCCCCACUUUUGGAGCGGGCCAGCCUCGGCCAGGCCUCCAUCCAGAAUGGCAAAGACAGGUGAGAGACCCGGGCCCUGCCUGCCUCGCUCCCUAGGAGCCAUGUCUCACAGGGUGAUGUCUGUCAGCAGCACCGUCUCCUGUCCCUGCCAGCGCAUUGCUCCCUGCUCCCUGGAGUUCCAUCCUGGCUGUGUCCAGUCCAGCUUUCCCCUCCCCUAUUCCACGCCAUUGCCUCCUCCCCAUCUUCCUCUGACUGCUACUUGCAGUUUGCCAAGUGUGGGGCUGACCGUGGCCAUCUCAGCUACA